CGGGUGUAGUUCAGUGGUAGAACGUCAGCCUUCCAAGCUGAACAUGCGGGUUCGAUUCCCGCCACCC
This 67-nucleotide transfer RNA is filed under the name uncultured Cycloclasticus sp. It matches the Rfam family "tRNA". From Rfam's summary of the family: Transfer RNA (tRNA) molecules are approximately 80 nucleotides in length. Their secondary structure includes four short double-helical elements and three loops (D, anti-codon, and T loops). Further hydrogen bonds mediate the characteristic L-shaped molecular structure. tRNAs have two regions of fundamental functional importance: the anti-codon, which is responsible for specific mRNA codon recognition, and the 3' end, to which the tRNAs corresponding amino acid is attached (by aminoacyl-tRNA synthetases). tRNAs cope with the degeneracy of the genetic code in two manners: having more than one tRNA (with a specific anti-codon) for a particular amino acid; and 'wobble' base-pairing, i.e. permitting non-standard base-pairing at the 3rd anti-codon position. Lineage: Bacteria; Pseudomonadati; Pseudomonadota; Gammaproteobacteria; Thiotrichales; Piscirickettsiaceae. The record is from RNAcentral.